This 1232-nucleotide long non-coding RNA is filed under the name Coturnix japonica (Japanese quail). Its description in RNAcentral is "lncRNA (ENSCJPG00005004255.1)". The record is from RNAcentral. Lineage: Eukaryota; Metazoa; Chordata; Aves; Galliformes; Phasianidae.
CCUCAGCAGGUGCCCAAUCAGGAUGUUACAUAACAUCCCCAUUCAAGAACAAAGACAAAAACAAAACAGUAACAGGUAUUUGCUGGAGCUCCUCACUGAGGUCACAUCUACCCACAUGAAGAAGCUCUUCUGCUCUGUUGCUGCCUUGGACCAAGAGCUGCUGGAUGGAGCUGCAGGACUUGGCUUCUCCGCCAUCACAUUGCUUGGCCUAGAACAGCACUACAGGAGGUGAGUUCUGGUUCUGAUAAUGGAGUAAUGCUGAGUGGUUGGGGGGCAGAAAUGUUUGGGGGGGAUUUUGAGGUGUCUGGGGGGGGACAUGGAGCUGAUGUUUGACAGUGAAGCUGUAUGUAGAUGUGGAGGUAUCAAUGGAGUUACACAAGGAACCAUGUUGGAACGUGACAAUGAGUAGAUGAGGGACUGAAUAGUGAAAAAGGAGCCAUAGUAGAUGAACAGAGAACACUUAGCUACAAAAAAGGAAAGGGGGCCUCACUAAGGAAAAGGGUAAAAAAAAUUAAGAAAAGACGGGUAAGAGCAGUAGAAAACCAAAAAAAGCAAGGUUAGAAUAUAAGGAAACAAAAAAAAGCAGGGUUAGAGAGGAAGAAAACCAAGAAAAGACAAAUUAGAGUGGCAGGAAAACCUAGAAAAGCAAGGUUAGAUGGGAAGAAAACCAAGAAACGACAAUUUAGAGUGGAAGAAAACCAAGAAAAGAGGGGUUAGAGCGGAAGAAAACCAAGAAAAGACGGUUUAGAAUGGAAGAAAACCAAGAAAAGAUGGGUUAGAGCCGAAGAAAACCAAGAAAGGACGGGCCGGAGCAGAUGAAAACCAAGAAAACAUGGGUUAGAGCGAAAGAAAACCAAGAAAAGCAGGGUUAGAACGGAAGAAAACCAAGAAAAGAUGGCUUAGAGCCGAAGAAAACAAAGAAAANUGUUUUCCUUGGUUUUCUUCGGCUCUAACCCUGUUUUUCUUGGUUUUCUUCUGUUCUAACCCUGCUUUUCUUGGUUUUCUUCCGCUCUAACCCUGUUUAUCUUGGUUUUAUUCCGCUCUAACCCUGUUUUUCUUGGUUUUUUUCGGCUCUAACCCUUUUUUUCUUGGUUUUCUUCCGUUCUAAUCCUGUUUUUCUUGGUUUUCUUCCGCUCUAACCCGGCUUUUCUUGGUUUUUUUCGGCUCUAACCCUGUUUUUCUUGGUUUUUUUCGGCUCUAACCCUGUUUUUCUUGGUUUUCUUCCGCUCUAA